AAGUCGAACGCACAGCGAAAGGUGCUUGCACCUUUCAAGUGAGUGGCGAACGGGUGAGUAACACGUGGACAACCUGCCUCAAGGCUGGGGAUAACAUUUGGAAACAGAUGCUAAUACCGAAUGAAACUUAGUGUCGCAUGACACGAAGUUAAAAGGCGCUUUGGCGUCACCUAGAGAUGGAUCCGCGGUGCAUUAGUUAGUUGGUGGGGUAAAGGCCUACCAAGACAAUGAUGCAUAGCCGAGUUGAGAGACUGAUCGGCCACAUUGGGACUGAGACACGGCCCAAACUCCUACGGGAGGCUGCAGUAGGGAAUCUUCCACAAUGGGCGAAAGCCUGAUGGAGCAACGCCGCGUGUGUGAUGAAGGCUUUCGGGUCGUAAAGCACUGUUGUAUGGGAAGAACAGCUAGAAUAGGGAAUGAUUUUAGUUUGACGGUACCAUACCAGAAAGGGACGGCUAAAUACGUGCCAGCAGCCGCGGUAAUACGUAUGUCCCGAGCGUUAUCCGGAUUUAUUGGGCGUAAAGCGAGCGCAGACGGUUGAUUAAGUCUGAUGUGAAAGCCCGGAGCUCAACUCCGGAAUGGCAUUGGAAACUGGUUAACUUGAGUGCAGUAGAGGUAAGUGGAACUCCAUGUGUAGCGGUGGAAUGCGUAGAUAUAUGGAAGAACACCAGUGGCGAAGGCGGCUUACUGGACUGUAACUGACGUUGAGGCUCGAAAGUGUGGGUAGCAAACAGGAUUAGAUACCCUGGUAGUCCACACCGUAAACGAUGAACACUAGGUGUUAGGAGGUUUCCGCCUCUUAGUGCCGAAGCUAACGCAUUAAGUGUUCCGCCUGGGGAGUACGACCGCAAGGUUGAAACUCAAAGGAAUUGACGGGGACCCGCACAAGCGGUGGAGCAUGUGGUUUAAUUCGAAGCAACGCGAA
This 925-nucleotide ribosomal RNA is filed under the name Leuconostoc pseudomesenteroides. RNAcentral's name for it is "bacterial SSU rRNA". It matches the Rfam family "Bacterial small subunit ribosomal RNA", at positions 59 to 965 of the family's 1533-position model. Lineage: Bacteria; Bacillati; Bacillota; Bacilli; Lactobacillales; Lactobacillaceae. The record is from RNAcentral.